Molecule: ribosomal RNA, 461 nt
Filed under: uncultured Streptococcus sp.
Lineage: Bacteria; Bacillati; Bacillota; Bacilli; Lactobacillales; Streptococcaceae
Description: bacterial SSU rRNA
Rfam family: Bacterial small subunit ribosomal RNA
Source: RNAcentral
CGGGACCGCACAAGCGGUGGAUGAUGUGGUUUAAUUCGAUGCAACGCGAAAACCUUACCCACCUUUGACAUGUAUGGAAGUUUCCAGAGAUGGAUUCGUGCUCGAAAGAGAGCCAUAACACAGGCGCUGCAUGGCUGUCGUCAGCUCGUGUCGUGAGAUGUUGGGUUAAGUCCCGCAACGAGCGCAACCCUUGUCAUUAGUUGCUACGCAAGGGCACUCUAAUGAGACUGCCGGUGACAAACCGGAGGAAGGUGGGGAUGACGUCAAAUCAUCAUGCCCCUUAUGACCUGGGCUACACACGUGCUACAAUGGUUGGUACAACGAGUUGCGAGUCGGUGACGGCGAGCUAAUCUCUUAAAGCCAAUCUCAGUUCGGAUUGUAGGCUGCAACUCGCCUACAUGAAGUCGGAAUCGCUAGUAAUCGCGGAUCAGCACGCCGCGGUGAAUACGUUCCCGGGCCUU